RNAcentral lists this microRNA (22 nucleotides) under Caenorhabditis remanei. RNAcentral's name for it is "crm-miR-2229". Lineage: Eukaryota; Metazoa; Nematoda; Chromadorea; Rhabditida; Rhabditidae. The record is from miRBase by way of RNAcentral.
UGAAAGACUGAUGGGUCCUGGG